CCGCGGUAAUACGUAGGGUGCGAGCGUUAAUCGGAAUUACUGGGCGUAAAGCGUGCGCAGGCGGUUAUAUAAGACAGUUGUGAAAUCCCCGGGCUCAACCUGGGAAUUGCAUCUGUGACUGUAUAGCUAGAGUACGGUAGAGGGGGAUGGAAUUCCGCGUGUAGCAGUGAAAUGCGUAGAUAUGCGGAGGAACACCGAUGGCGAAGGCAAUCCCCUGGACCUGUACUGACGCUCAUGCACGAAAGCGUGGGGAGCAAACAGGAUUA
This 266-nucleotide ribosomal RNA is filed under the name Polaromonas vacuolata. Its description in RNAcentral is "partial 16S ribosomal RNA". It matches the Rfam family "Bacterial small subunit ribosomal RNA", at positions 515 to 780 of the family's 1533-position model. Lineage: Bacteria; Pseudomonadati; Pseudomonadota; Betaproteobacteria; Burkholderiales; Comamonadaceae. The record is from RNAcentral.